Molecule: long non-coding RNA, 142 nt
Organism: Drosophila navojoa
Lineage: Eukaryota; Metazoa; Arthropoda; Insecta; Diptera; Drosophilidae
Source: RefSeq, a predicted model, not a curated record
AUUUUUUUUAUAAUAAUACCAAUAUGCGCAUGAACUCGUGAAUUUCGAUCCAACACAAAAAUAUAUGCUAAAUACUUAUGUGUAAAAGGAGUGUAUGUGGGUGUGUGUAUCUAUGUAGUACAUGACUUCGUAUAAAAUUGUU